Molecule: long non-coding RNA, 7157 nt
Organism: Malaclemys terrapin pileata
Lineage: Eukaryota; Metazoa; Chordata; Testudines; Emydidae
Exons: 6
Source: RefSeq, a predicted model, not a curated record
GUUUGCCAAGCAGAAGAAAAUGUCUCCAUGCGGCCGCUGUAGAGCGCAGACCGUUUCCCAGGUCUCUCCUCCCCUGCUGUUAGUGGCUGAAGAAACCUAAAAAGCUACAGAAAAGCCAAGAAAUGCACCCCAAGUACUGCAUUAAAAUGAAACAUCCCAAGAGACAGUAUGUCUGGGCAAAAAGUAGGCCCAGAGAGCGGCACAUGGCUUGAAGCACUGCAACAUCCCUUCGGACUUAAGACCUGGAACUGCCCUUGAUGAGCCAGUCGUUGAGGUACAGGUAGAACUGGAUACCCUGGUGCCUGAGAUAGGGCCCCGCCACUGAAGGGCAGGUCCUGCAAUGACUUCUGGGCCUCGGUGGACAACCCAGAGAGGAGCGGCCAAGAGACUCGCUGCAUGGAGAUAGCGGAAGCCAUGGUGCGGGCAGCACUCGUGCCCUCAAAAAGGAUCGCUCUGAAUUCCUUCUUGGAAGCCUCAGGGAGCGACCCUUUGAACUUGGCCAGGGCUUGCUGCAUAUUUAAGUCAUAUUGGCCAAGGAGGGCUUGGUGGUUGGUUACUCUCAGCUGAAGGCUGGAAGAUGAAAAUACCUUUUGCCCAAAAAGAUCCAGCUUCCUUGAGUCUUUAUUUGUGGGGGUGGCCCCGGGUUGUCUCUGCCUCCUCUUGUGGUUCACCACCUCAACCACAAGAGAAUUGGGGGCUGGGAGGGAGUAUAGGUACUCACGCCCUUUGGUUGGCAUGAAGUACUUAUGUUUGGCCCUUUUUAGAGAGGGGGUCUGGCACAGGGCAUUAGUGAGAUUUAUAAAGAUAGCUACACCACUCGACUCAAAAUCUGAGAGGGAUGAGGUGUGGAGCAUGCUUUCAGAAGUCUUAAAAGAGCAACACUCCGAUGCGGAAACUACAGAACUGAACCACCAAAAAAGAAAAUCAACCUUCUGCUGGUGGCAUCUGACUCAGAUGUUGAAAAUGAAGAUGCAUUGGUCUGCACUGCUUUGGAUUGUUAUUGAGCAGAACCUGUCAUCAGCACGGACGCAUGUCUUCUGGAAUGGUGUUUGAAGCAUGAAGGGACACGUCAAUCUUUAAUGCAUCUGACACACAAACAUCUUGCUAUGCUGGCUACAACCGUGCCAUGAGAAUGCCUGUUCUCACUUUCAGGUGACCCUGUAAACAAGAAGUGGGCAGCAUUAUCUCCUGCGCAAAUGUAAACAAACUUGUUUGAGGGAUUGGCUGAACAAGAAGUAGGACUGAGUGGACUUGUAGGCUCUAAAGUUUUACAUUGUUGUUUUUGAGUGCAGAUAUGUAACAAAUCUGCAUUUGUAAGUUGCACUUUCAUGAUUGAGAUUGCACUAUAGUAUGUAUGAGGUAAAUUGAAAAAUACGAUGUCAUUUUUACAGUGCAAUAUUUAAAAAAAUAAAGUAAGCAUUGUAUGCUUUGAAAUCAAUAUUUGAAAAUGUAGAAACAUACAAAAAUAUUGAAUAUUUCAAUUGGUAUUCUAUUGUUUAACUGCAAUUAAACUGAUCAAGACUAAUUUUUUUAAUCGUGAUUAAUCUUGAGUUCAUCAUGUGAGUUAACUGUGAUUAAUCAACAGCCCUCAUACUGAGCAAUAUAAACAAGUCAUUUCUAUAUGAAAUUUUAGUUUACAGACUUCACUAAUGCUUUUUAUGUAGCCUGUUGUAAAAUUAGGUAAAUAUCUAGAUGUACUGUACCCCACUGUGUACCCCCACACAUACAUCUACCCCUGGUCGAGACCCACUUAAAAAUAGCCAAGGUGGUUAUUUAAACAGAGCCUAUCUGCUAUUGCUCCUCUCCAAAUAUGAAAGUGAUGGCUUGUUAGAGUAAUACUGCUUUUCCUCCAACAGGUUCUUAUGAAAACUCAGACUCUGGAAUCUGUCAAACCUACAUUGACUUAUAUAAACAACUGACAUUUUUGAAAACUAUCUUUAAAGUGAUGGAGACAAGACUAGACGUACAAUGUUGCCAAGAAACAUUACCUUAUCAACAUGAACUAAUGACUUCGGACAGCAGCAGCAGUAGUUAAUAAGACAAGCGUUCACCGUUCUGACUUUUCAAUCUUGCAGAUUGUCAUUAGCGGAAUUAAGCUCUGCAUCUGUAAUAUACUGGGGGAGAAGUGGCAUCAGUAGAGUUAUGCUUUCACAUUCCUACUCAUUUGGACAUUUUGUACAAAAUGCAACUACUUUUAAAUGCCCCCUUCGCUAGCUUCCCCCCCACAAGCCUAAGAGUUCACUGUGCUCUUCAAUGGUGCUAACUGCCCAAUGCAUGCUUUCAGACUGGGAUGGCCUGCUGCCUCUGAUAUUCCAGAGUGGGAAUCUACUCUACUCAUGGCAACUGUUCUAGGUAUGGAACUACUUCCACUAGCACUGUGAAGGGGGUCAGCUAGAGGCAUCUUCACCUACAUUGAAAGAAAACUAGAGAUUAAUCAUACUGUGAAACCUGUAUUAAGAAGCUACCAAAGGGAUCUGACAAAAAUGGGCUCCUUAAUGGAGAUGGUCUUCUAAUAAAGAUGGAGCACAACUGUAUUCAGUAAAUUUGUGCAUACUUUGGACAGGUCUCUCAAAACCGCAGGAUGCCUAAAUAAUGUAGUCUUAUCCUUCUCCACCUUGUCUCUCAAACAGAAAACUGGAGGGAGUCUGAGGAAGAGCAAGGCAAAUAACUUAGUUGCUUCAGCUAGAGUACCCUCCAAGUUAUUUGUGACAAAUUUUUUCUCACAAAGAAAGGAGAGAAUGUAAAUAAUAAACAGCUGUUUUUGGUAGAAAUGUAUGGUACAUUCUAGAUAAUGAUGCAGAAUUUAAUUGUAGAUGUACUUACUGAAAAAGUAAAACACUUUAGGGCCAUUAUUUUUUACACUAUAUUUUAGGCAAUACUGAUCUGACCCUUAUAACAAAGCAACACCAUUUUAAGCGCCUGUUCCAAACAAAUUAACUCUAAGUUUGCUAUGAAAAAUUAUCCGAUCCAUCAAUAACUGAAUAAAAUUCUGCCACUCCACUUCCCACCCCCCAAAGGUAGCUUUCCCCUGCUUUCUGAUACAAAAUGUUUCUAUUUUAUUAACAAUUCUCCCAAACAACUGAAAUGUUUCUAUGUAACUACUGAACAUGACAUGCCUUUGGAUCACUGCUACCAGGUGGAAUACGGAAGGGCAGCCAGGCCAAACUUGAGUGAAUGGCAAUGCAAUCUAGUGCAUGUGGUUGUAAUGCCAUUAAAGGUUCUAACCCCUCAGGAGAGCUCAAAGCACUGAGCCUACAGGUUAAGGGUGUAUGGCUUCCAUGGGGGUAGGUCCAGAGCCCUUUCCUCAACCCCCCUCCUUCCAGAAUCCCUGUCCAGAGCACUAGCCAUUAUAGGUAUUUCCCUCCACAGCCUAUAAGCCUUAAUGCUGCUACUUCCCAGAGGCUGAAGUGGAGCAGGGAGUGACUGGAGUUACUAUUAAGAGCCCGUUAUUGUACAAGAAGCUACGUCCACCCUUCCCCCCGCAAUUCCAGGGAUUACCAAUGUGGGCACCUCUGCAGCUCUCCAAGCCCAGAGGCCCAGUGCAUUGCCAGACCUAAGGUUGAGAAAGGGGAGGCAAUGUGCUGAACCCUGUGUUGCCACCACGUGAUGUAGGUAACUGGAGGAGUAGACCCAGGAACCUGAAGUCUGUGCCCUUAAGAUGCCUGGCUAAGUAACCUACAGGUGCAAUCAGAUCAUUACUAAGUGUAUGCUACUACAGGUGUAAAUAACAGCACCCACAGAACUGGAGGCCAUUUUUAUAACUUUAGGCCUGAGUGUCUUGUGGAUGGUGUUAAGUACUCUAUCUUUGGAUUUAGCUCAGGGAAGUAACUGCAAACAGACAAUGGAACCUAUUUUCUGGGGUUGCCACCUGGUAUUGUAAGUAGUUGGGGGCCAGGGACCUGAGGUUUAUACCCUUCCUCUCCUUCAGGCAUUUGGAACAUCCAGUUUUGCAGUUCUUCUAGUGCUUAAUCAUUAGAAAUAGCUGCCUUGUACAGUACAUAAAAUUGAUCAGUUUUUGUGGCAUGAAAAGAGAUGGUGAUUGUACUAGUGCUUCAUCUUCGAAUAAACAAAAAGUUUGGAAAUAUGAAGAAAGUUACUUGGAAAUGGGAUUUACAUUUAUUGGCACUGCAAAUGAACCUCAUCCACAAAGCAUUGUCUGUGGUGAUGUACUGGCUAAUGGCAGCUUGAAGCCUUGCAAAUUGAGAUGAGACAUCAUGGACUAGAGGGUAGCCACCUGACUUUUUCAAAGGAAGACUCAAAGCAUUAAAGCAGCCAAAAAGCACUAUAAGAAGCAAGCAUGCUACACUGCCUGCAAAGCAUCUUAAACCAUCUUAUGCUGUGUCAUACUAAGCCUCACACCACAGCAGACACACUGAUUUUGCCAGUUGCAAAGAUUUGUUCCAUUAUGUCUGGGGAAAGCUCAGCUCUGCAGGAUGGUGCCAUUCCACUUUCAAACAACACAGUGAGUUGCAGAAUUUCAGAACUCAGCGGUGUGAACCAUCAAGUGCUGAAAUAUAUUCAGAUGAGUCAAUACAAUGCAAUCCAACUUAAGACAACACAUAUUGCUAGAGCUGUACAACUGCUUGUCUAUGUCAGUUUUGUGCACUGAGUCACUUCUGAAGAAUUUUUUUUGUCAACCCCUUUCAACAUACACCGGGCAACAAAUCUGAAAUGCUAGAUCAGUGGUUUUCAACCAGGGGUACAUGUACCCCUGGGGGUACGCAGAGGUCUUCCAGGGGGUACAUCAACUCAUCUUGGUAUUUGCCUAGUUUUACAACAGGCUACAUAAAAAGCACUAGCCAAGUCAGUUCAAUCUAACAUUUCAUACAAUCAUUUGUAUGUAUUGCUCUCUAUACUAUACACAAAUGUAAAUACAAUAUUUAUAUUCCAAUUGAUUUAUUUUAUAAUCAUAUGGUAAAAAUGAGAAGGCAAUUUUUCAGUAAAAAUGUGCUGUGACACUUUUGUAUUUUUAUUUCUGAUUUUGUAAGCAAGUAAUUUUUAAAUGAGGUGUAACUUGGGUGUCUGCAAGACAAUUCAGACUCUUGAAAGGAGUACAGUAGUCUGGAAAGGUUGAGAGCCACUGUGCUAGAUAAUAUUAUUUGAUGACUUGGGAUUUGCAGUGCUUGAUCCAUGAUGGGAAAAGCUUAGUAGUUUUAUCACUCGCAUUCAUUCAGUAAGUAGCCACCAGUGCCAAAUGGACACACUGCAUUAUACACAGAGAAGCUUCGGCUGCUAAGAAAAUGCCUCAGCCUUGAAGUCAGUUAUGCAGUAAGCCGUGUAGGAUAAUCAAUUUUAUAAAAGCACGGCCACUUAAUGCACAUUUAUUUUCAGUUCUGUCAGGAAAUGGGAUCUAAUCAUUGUGAUGUUGGCAGACUAGAUGCCAACUCAUGCCAAAGGCACAGUGCCCCAGUGUACGCUGACAAAUGCAUAGGUGGAAAUCAGUCUGGCUUACCUGUGGAUUAGUAUAGUUAAAAUAACUAUUAGUGUUAUAUGAAUGUAAUUAGUGUUUAGACUUUACGGAAUGUUUGUAGGAUGUUUAAUGUAUUAAUCCUACUUAUAAAUAUCUGUAUCCCAUGAUAUAAAGUUAUACUGAGUAUUUGCAUUGUAAACCUCUAAUUAUGUAACUCACCAAACAGGAAAAGCAGCAUUAAUUAAGGUAAAGUGCUUGUCCUGGACACAAGAUGGUCCACUGAAGGCAAAUGAGGCACUGUGUAGCAUCAAAGGACAAAGACCUUGUCGAUUGCAUUCCUUACUGCCUCCAUGAAGGGGAGACCUACACAUGAACUUAUCCCGUCAGCUUGGAUUCUGGAGUGAAGUGGAUAAAAAAUCUCUGACAAGGAGAAACUGGAUUUUUGUGGUGUCUGGACUUUGAGGAGAAAAGACUCCUAAACAUAAACAAAAGAUCCCCAUACAGUUUAGCAUGGGUCAGCCCUAAAGGACAUAUAGAUAUGCUUACUAUAGGAGUUUAUAUUACCUUUUUUAAUCUAAGACUGCAACUAAUUUGUGUGUGCAUGUGUUUCCUGUUUUAACCUUUUAAAUAACUAAAUUUCUUUCCUUAGUUUAUAAAUCUUUAGUUAAUUUAUUACAGGAUUGGCUACAGGUGUGGUAUUUGGUUUGAGAUCUGAGUACAAAUGACCUGGGAUAAGUGACUGGUCCUUUGGGACUGGGAGUAACCUGAAUAUUGUUGCACUUUUUGGUGUAAAGUGACCACCUAUCACAGAGCCCAGCUUGCGUGGGUGGCCAGAUAGACUGGAAUGCCCAAGGAACUGUCUGUGACUCCAUAGUAAGACUGUUAUAUUGAGCAAAUUGAGUUCAUCUUGUUAUUGGGUUGGUGAAAUCUAAUUAUAGAGCAUAUAACCAGUUUGGGGUUUCUGCCCUGCUUUUUGAGUCUGCCCCACGGUUGGCACUCAUGGUUGUGAGCCACUCCAGGCAGCAUGACAAUAAUCACCACCUACUACUCCAAACCAAAGGUAGUUAUCAAGAGAAAGAGUACUUCGCCUUUUUGAGUUAUGUGAAGAGGUUAAAAUCAUCUUAACUGAUGCAAAGUCUGAUCUAGUUACCCACUUUCGUGACUACCUUUGGCUGGCACUGUUUGCUUACUUGGUUAAAGUUUUCAACCAUCUGAAUUCACUAAAUGCAUCUAUGCAAGUGAAGAAUAAAUCCUCCUAUCAGACAAAUUAACAAAUUCUAUUCAGAAUCAGGACAUGUGGGCCUCUUGAUUUGCAAGUGGAAACUACAACAUUUCCCACACUUUCAGAUUUCCUCUAGGAUUGUGAGGUGGCAAUUAUGCUUGGCAGAACUUAUUUUUUUUUUUAUAAUUCAAUGGCUAAUAUCUGUUUAUUUUAAGCUUUUACUUUUAGCUAUUUAAAUGUUCACACUUGUGGAAAAUUAUGGGGGAGUCCAAACAGUUAUUAUUUAAUGACAGAUGUUGAUAUUCAAGCUUUAUAACCAUUAAAACAUGAGUUGUCAGCAUCAUGUCAAAAUAUACAAAGUAAAUAGCCUUAAACCAAACUCUAAUAAGUUUUCAAGCAGCAAUUUUCUUACUUUGCCUAUCUGUAAAUUUCAAUUAUUAUUGAUGGAAAUAUUUUUCAUUGGCAUGUGUGUAUAUAUGGUAAAACUGACAUUUACUGAUAAAAAUCUAAUCCUUUCAAGCCUAA